RNAcentral lists this ribosomal RNA (374 nucleotides) under uncultured bacterium. Its description in RNAcentral is "bacterial SSU rRNA". It matches the Rfam family "Bacterial small subunit ribosomal RNA", at positions 767 to 1138 of the family's 1533-position model. The record is from RNAcentral.
AGUAAAUAGAUACCCAGUAGUCCACGCUGUAAACGAUGAGUGCUGACGUUGGCGGGUUUACCUGCCGGUGUCGCAGCUAAACGCGUUAAGCACUCCGCCUGGGGAGUACGGCCGCAAGGUUAAAACUACAAAGGAAUUGACGGGGGCCCGGCACAAGCGGUGGAGCAUGUGGUUUAAUUCGACGCAACGCGCAGAACCUUACCAGCCCUUCGACAUGGGCGGACGGGGUCCGACGAGGAUGGACUCUUUCUUCGCAAGAGACCGCUACACAGGUGCUGCAUGGCUGUCGUCAGCUCGUGUCGUGAGAUGUUGGGUUAAGUCCCGCAACGAGCGCAACCCUCGUCGUCCAGUUGCCAUCGGGUAGAGCCGGGCAC